GUCGUUGUAGUAUAGUGGUUAGUGUUCCCGCCUGUCACGCGGGUGACCCGUGUUCGAUCCCGGCAACGGUG
This 71-nucleotide transfer RNA is filed under the name Brassica oleracea var. oleracea. It matches the Rfam family "tRNA". From Rfam's summary of the family: Transfer RNA (tRNA) molecules are approximately 80 nucleotides in length. Their secondary structure includes four short double-helical elements and three loops (D, anti-codon, and T loops). Lineage: Eukaryota; Viridiplantae; Streptophyta; Magnoliopsida; Brassicales; Brassicaceae. The record is from Rfam by way of RNAcentral.